AGAUCACUUGAGCCCAGGAGUUUGAGGCUGCAGUGAGCUAGGAUUAUGCCACUGCACUCUAGCCUGGGCAACAGAG
RNAcentral lists this small nuclear RNA (76 nucleotides) under Homo sapiens (human). Its description in RNAcentral is "partial ncRNA". Lineage: Eukaryota; Metazoa; Chordata; Mammalia; Primates; Hominidae. The record is from RNAcentral.